RNAcentral lists this ribosomal RNA (447 nucleotides) under uncultured bacterium. Its description in RNAcentral is "bacterial SSU rRNA". It matches the Rfam family "Bacterial small subunit ribosomal RNA", at positions 28 to 450 of the family's 1533-position model. The record is from RNAcentral.
GAUGAACGCUGGCGGCGUGCCUAACACAUGCAAGUCGAACGAACCUUGGGGAACAGAUUACUUCGGUUUGAAGUUCCCCGCUGGUUAGUGGCGGACGGGUGAGUAACGCGUGGGAAACCUGCCUCAUAGAGGGGAAUAGCCUUCCGAAAGGGAGAUUAAUACCGCAUAAGAUUGUAGUACCGCAUGGUACAGCAAUUAAAGGAGCAAUCCGCUAUGAGAUGGGCCCGCGGCGCAUUAGCUAGUUGGUGAGGUAACGGCUCACCAAGGCGACGAUGCGUAGCCGACCUGAGAGGGUGAUCGGCCACAUUGGGACUGAGACACGGCCCAGACUCCUACGGGAGGCAGCAGUGGGGAAUAUUGCACAAUGGGGGAAACCCUGAUGCAGCAACGCCGCGUGAGUGAUGACGGCCUCGGUUGGUAAAGACGUCUGGUCUUCUAGGGACGGAU